RNAcentral lists this transfer RNA (73 nucleotides) under Phyllodactylus xanti. RNAcentral's name for it is "tRNA-Asn". The record is from RNAcentral. Lineage: Eukaryota; Metazoa; Chordata; Lepidosauria; Squamata; Phyllodactylidae.
UAAGUUAAAGUCCGCUGGAUUGGGCGUCUAGUUGUUAAUUAGAAUCUCGUGGGAUCAAGGCCCGCUGGCUUAG